RNAcentral lists this ribosomal RNA (638 nucleotides) under uncultured archaeon. RNAcentral describes it as "bacterial SSU rRNA". It matches the Rfam family "Archaeal small subunit ribosomal RNA", at positions 151 to 773 of the family's 1478-position model. The record is from RNAcentral.
AUCCGAUAGGCGAGGAAUCCUGGAAUGGUUCUUCACCCAAAGGACAUUGGAAACAUGCUUUCUCUGCCGCCUGGGGAUGGGGCCGCGUCCGAUCAGGUUGUUGGUGAGGUAAUGGCUCACCAAGCCUUUAACCGGUACGGGCCGUGAGAGCGGUAGCCCGGAGAUGGGUACUGAGACAAGGACCCAGGCCCUACGGGGCGCAGCAGUCGCGAAAACUCCGCAAUGCACGAAAGUGUGACGGGGCUACCCCGAGUGCCGUCCGCUGAGGAUGGCUUUUCCUUGGUGUAACUAGCCGGGGGAAUAAGGAGAGGGCAAGACUGGUGUCAGCCGCCGCGGUAAUACCAGCUCUCCGAGUGGUAGGGAUGAUUAUUGGGCUUAAAGCGUCCGUAGCCGGCUUAGCAAGUUUCCUGUUAAAUUCAGCGACCUAAUCGUUGAGCCGCGGGAAAUACUACUAGGCUAGGAGGCGGGAGAGGUCGACGGUACUUCCGGGGUAGGGGUGAAAUCCUAUAAUCCCGGGAGGACCACCAGUGGCGAAGGCUGUCGACUAGAACGCGCUCGACGGUGAGGGACGAAAGCUGGGGGAGCGAACCGGAUUAGAUACCCGGGUAGUCCCAGCUGUAAACGAUGCGGGCUAGGUG